RNAcentral lists this ribosomal RNA (443 nucleotides) under uncultured bacterium. RNAcentral's name for it is "partial 16S ribosomal RNA". It matches the Rfam family "Bacterial small subunit ribosomal RNA", at positions 338 to 795 of the family's 1533-position model. The record is from RNAcentral.
CCUACGGGAGGCAGCAGUGGGGAAUAUUGGGCAAUGGGCGCAAGCCUGACCCAGCAACGCCGCGUGAAGGAAGAAGGCUUUCGGGUUGUAAACUUCUUUUCUCAGGGACGAAGAAAGUGACGGUACCCGAGGAAUAAGCCACGGCUAACUACGUGCCAGCAGCCGCGGUACUACGUAGGUGGCAAGCGUUCUCCGGAUGUACUGGGUGUAAAGGGCGUGUAGGCGGGGCAGCAAGUCAGAUGUGAAAACCACGGGCUCAACCUGUGGCCUGCAUUUGAAACUGUUUUUCUUGAGUACUGGAGAGGCAGACGGAAUUCCUAGUGUAGCGGUGAAAUGCGUAGAUAUUAGGAGGAACACCAGUGGCGAAGGCGGUCUGCUGGACAGCAACUGACGCUGAGGCGCGAAAGCGUGGGGAGCAAACAGGAUUAGAUACCCGUGUAGUC